UUACGCUAUAAUGUCCACUAGCAUUAUAGCGUUACUUGUAGUUCCUUGGUUCUUUUUCUUUUCUAUAAAUGUAUCCUUGGCUCUCCGUCCGAGGACUUACAUUAUCAGAUACGCCUGAGUGCAGAGCUUUAUACAUAUAAAGAGAAGGGAAACUGAAUUUUAUUGCUGGUCACUGAAUCUCUAUAUUGCCGGGCACAGACUUUCUGUAUCGCCCGACACAGAGGUACUUUAUUGCUGGGCACAGGUUUUCACAUAGAAGUGAUCAUCACACACUACAGCAUAAUAUAUUCUUCAUUAGCAUAGAGGUCAAAGCAGAUGUUGAAAUUUUUCUGCUACUGAAAACAUGUACUGUCAUCCUAUUUGGGCAAUUUGUCAAUCCCCGUCCCUGGUAGCAGAUAAAGACUCGCAGUCUCAUACUACUAUGGUAUACACCGUAUUUUCCGGAGCAUAAGCUGCACCCAGAUUUGUUUUCACAAAGUACUGACAUCUACGCUAUAUAUCCCCAUCCAUUUGCCCAUGGUAGUAUGAGCUGCACUGACUUUGUCUUGUGGGUGAAUUGCUACAAGUGUGUAAUUAAGGUACGGCGUAUACUCCGGAGAAUACAGUACGUGGAAGGACAUUCUCAAUACAUAUAGAGGAUACUGCUGGAAUUGUUUUCUCUUGACUGUGUGUAUGUGUAUAUGUGUGUGUGUGGUGUAUGGAUGGGUGGUGUGUGCGUAUGUGCACGUGUGUACGUAUCUGUGUAUGUGUGUACAUGUUUGUGUGUCUGCUUCCUACAACUUGCUGUCGCGGAUGAGGAAAAUUCAGCGUUGACAACAUGGUCACUUUGGAUGUGACCAUGUGCGCUGGCCCUCGCUUGCCUGGGCGCAGAGGAGUUGCAUAGUUCCAUUUCGAGCUUGGCUCACAGCAUAUGUCUUUGGGAAGAGAGUCAAGUAGACACAGCUGCACCUCCUGUCACUCCGAAAGAGCAAAACAAGCAACAGUGAAAGAGCCUGUUCGUGUCCCACCGGAGCUGCAGUAACUCAUGCUACGUCCCGAAGCCAGCACUCCGUUCAAGUCGCCCCAUUUGGUGACACAUGGCCAGUUGUGGUGGUGGGCGAAGGAAGGAAGGUGCUCUCCGCAAGCAACAGAAGCUGGUCAAGAUAGGCUUUGGACGUUGAAAUAAAGUCUACGUCAUCAGCAUAAGCUGUUUCUGCCGGUAGGUGUUCAUCUGCAGCUGGUCUCGGUGGCAGGACUGAACGAAGGUCACGCAGAGCGGCUUCAAGAUUUUUCUCAACUCUCCCACCAGAUCAGCAUACUAGGCAAGCAACAGCGAUGGUCGUACUAUUAGCCACACCGGCAAACAGCCACCGUACCGGGACCAGCGGCAAACAGCCACCGUACCGGGACCAGCGGCAAACAGCCACCGUACCGGGACCAGCGGCAAACAGCCACCGUACCGGGACCAGCGGCAAACAGCAGUACAGCGCACGUGCAUAACCUCUUUACCGUAUUAUAUUGCCUGCUUCAAAUUCUGGCACAAAUGUUACUCCGUCUCAAUACAUGUGUUCAAUUUCAUUGUACAAGAAGCAGCUCAAUCAGCUAUCUUGUAUUACAUGUAUUCAACGCCAAUAGCUUAGUUGUACUUCGAAGUAUGAUGACAUUGUCUGAAGAGUUGAAUAUUUAUUGUCAACUACUUGCAAGCUAAAUUUGUAUCCUCUUCACUUCAUUUUCUUUACACAUCUCUGCUUCUUAUCAUCUGCUUUACUCCGUGGCUUCCUGUGUUCCUCUCGUAUAAUAAUUUCUUUGCAUCUUUUUUACUUCACCGCGCUUCCGAUACUCUUCUGACUUCCGACAUCUUUCCUCUUCCCCUUUUCUUAGCUUCAUCUUAUCCUGAUGUUCUUUUUAUAGGGCAAGUAUAUUUUCAGCAUUUUUCAUAUCUUCAUCAUUUUCGCUUUUAUCCAUCUCUCCUUCCUUUUUCUCGCUUCAUUCUCAUCACUAGGAUACCUCUCACGACCUUCUCACUACACACCACACAUCACAUCACAUACUUUUACAAAAUAAAUAUUGCCUACCCAAGCAUACUAUUAUAAGAUGUGUGAGCUGGAUAAUUAUUUUAUGGGGCAGUAAUUUUUGGCUGGUUUUCGAUGAAA
Sycon ciliatum is the source of this 2132-nucleotide long non-coding RNA. RefSeq lists it as uncharacterized. The transcript is spliced from 3 exons. The record is from RefSeq and is a predicted model, not a curated record. Lineage: Eukaryota; Metazoa; Porifera; Calcarea; Leucosolenida; Sycettidae.